GCGGACGUGGCGAAAUCGGUAGACGCAGCGGACUUAAAAUCCGCUUCUCAACGAGAGUGCGGGUUCAAGUCCCGCCGUCCGCACCA
Molecule: transfer RNA, 86 nt
Filed under: Sphingomonas changnyeongensis
Lineage: Bacteria; Pseudomonadati; Pseudomonadota; Alphaproteobacteria; Sphingomonadales; Sphingomonadaceae
Description: Sphingomonas sp. C33 tRNA-Leu
Rfam family: tRNA
About the family: Transfer RNA (tRNA) molecules are approximately 80 nucleotides in length. Their secondary structure includes four short double-helical elements and three loops (D, anti-codon, and T loops).
Source: RNAcentral